Molecule: long non-coding RNA, 1176 nt
Organism: Thalassophryne amazonica
Lineage: Eukaryota; Metazoa; Chordata; Actinopteri; Batrachoidiformes; Batrachoididae
Exons: 2
Source: RefSeq, a predicted model, not a curated record
GUUAAUAAUCCCAUUAUUCCCUUUGAUCGCUUUGGGUGAAGGGAGUCAGACUCAGACGAGCUGCUGUGGUCCCAAAUGACACAUGCGCAGUGAAGGCAGGGCGGACUAAUUUUUAAGGGGCGGGGGCGUUCGGUUGGUGGCACCGGAGCCAGCUAACCUUGCGGCCUGUGUGGGACUACUUCUUCUGCGUAGGUGCCAAAUUACAACUCAUAACUCACAAAUCUGUACAUACACUAUCACCAGAAGUUUAUAUAUGUAUUUAUAUGUGCAUAAACAUCUUUACACGUCAAAUAUAUAUACAGGUGAGUGUCUUUUCUUGCAAGGGUUUGUCCAGUAGGAGUUAAAUCUGUAAUUGCGGAAAACACAUGUCCCCACUGAUAUUUCGCAGAACAACCUUUUGAGCAGUGUAUCAGCAAGACUGGGGCCUUCAACUAAAGUUAGCUCCCUGAUUGGCCCGUAUUGACAAUUCAGUCAAAGGUCAGUAGUGGCAAACCAGUGCUUUGGUCUGACUCAGGCUUCUCCUCCUCUUGCGAUAUCACCUCCUAGUGGGUGUACAUCAGAUUAAACCUCUAAACUCUGUGCAAAUACUCGCAGACAGUUUUGAGUCAAAUCUGAAAGUUCAUUGUCUGCAAAUGUGUUUACAGCCUAUUUUCUUAUCUGAGUUCUGUUUUUCUUUUUUUUUCUUUUAUCCUCUUGUUUGUUGUUUCAGCGGUAAGAUGUAGGAAAUGGCAUAUUUCUUGUAAGAUGUUUUGACUGAAGAAUGUUGAGGGUUUGGUUUCCCUCUAUUUACUCAGUGUUGGCAGUUGAGAUGACAUCAGUCCAUUCCAGACACAUUCAAAGUUCAAUGCUGCAUUUUCAGCUGCCAUUCCAGGUUUCGGCUGCGAUUUGGGAGUAAAGACUUAUUUGGAAAAUGUCCAAAUUGUCUCAGAACAACCAUUGCAAGGCAGAGUUUUGAAUUCUCUCCCCCACUUCUGUAAGUCUGGAUUAUUUUUUGGAAAAAUCCUCCCUGCAGCCACAAAAACCUCAAAUUCUUGUCAUUAAAAAAAAGUAUAUAAUAUUUUACUUUAAAUAUUGUAAAUAUUUCUAAAGGAAAAUCCAUGUUUAGAGAAUUUAAUGUCUGGUCUGUUAAACUGGGCACCUGUUUAUUAAAGAUAUUAAAUAUGAUUUUCUCUGUGU